RNAcentral lists this ribosomal RNA (254 nucleotides) under uncultured bacterium. Its description in RNAcentral is "partial 16S ribosomal RNA". It matches the Rfam family "Bacterial small subunit ribosomal RNA", at positions 524 to 776 of the family's 1533-position model. The record is from RNAcentral.
UACGUAGGGGGCAAGCGUUGUCCGGAUUUACUGGGCGUAAAGGGCGCGUAGGCGGCCACCGCAAGUCGACUGUGAAAUCUCCGGGCUUAACCCGGAAAGGUCAGCCGAUACUGCGGGGCUAGAGUGCAGAAGGGGCAACUGGAAUUCUCGGUGUAGCGGUGAAAUGCGUAGAUAUCGAGAGGAACACCUGCGGCGAAGGCGGGUUGCUGGGCUGACACUGACGCUGAGGCGCGAAAGCUAGGGGAGCGAACGGG